CUGCCUCUCUGAUACUUGAAGUUUUCUGUUUACCCACAGAACCGGUAAAGCACAGGCAGCAGCAAUGCACUCUUCUCCAUGCUGCCCUGCCAGUACCUCAACCCUGAUCUGGCGGCACUAUCUCUAGGGAUCAGAGGGGAGUUCGGUUUCUAUGCACAGGCGACAAUUGAGCCUUC
Molecule: small RNA, 176 nt
Filed under: Chelonoidis abingdonii (Abingdon island giant tortoise)
Lineage: Eukaryota; Metazoa; Chordata; Testudines; Testudinidae
Description: TUC338 (ENSCABG00000022912.1)
Source: RNAcentral